GAUGAACGCUGGCGGCGUGCCUAAUACAUGCAAGUCGAGCGAACGGACGAGAAGCUUGCUUCUCUGAUGUUAGCGGCGGACGGGUGAGUAACACGUGGAUAACCUACCUAUAAGACUGGGAUAACUUCGGGAAACCGGAGCUAAUACCGGAUGAUAUUUUGAACCGCAUGGUUCAAAAGUGAAAGACGGUCUUGCUGUCACUUAUAGAUGGAUCCGCGCUGCAUUAGCUAGUUGGUAAGGUAACGGCUUACCAAGGCAACGAUGCAUAGCCGACCUGAGAGGGUGAUCGGCCACACUGGAACUGAGACACGGUCCAGACUCCUACGGGAGGCAGCAGUAGGGAAUCUUCCGCAAUGGGCGAAAGCCUGACGGAGCAACGCCGCGUGAGUGAUGAAGGUCUUCGGAUCGUAAAACUCUGUUAUUAGGGAAGAACAUAUGUGUAAGUAACUGUGCACAUCUUGACGGUACCUAAUCAGAAAGCCACGGCUAACUACGUGCCAGCAGCCGCGGUAAUACGUAGGUGGCAAGCGUUAUCCGGAAUUAUUGGGCGUAAAGCGCGCGUAGGCGGUUUUUUAAGUCUGAUGUGAAAGCCCACGGCUCAACCGUGGAGGGUCAUUGGAAACUGGAAAACUUGAGUGCAGAAGAGGAAAGUGGAAUUCCAUGUGUAGCGGUGAAAUGCGCAGAGAUAUAGAGGAACACCAGUGGCGAAGGCGACUUUCUGGUCUGUAACUGACGCUGAUGUGCGAAAGCGUGGGGAUCAAACAGGAUUAGAUACCCUGGCAGUCCACGCCGUAAACGAUGAGUGCUAAGUGUUAGGGGGUUUCCGCCCCUUAGUGCUGCAGCUAACGCAUUAAGCACUCCGCCUGGGGAGUACGACCGCAAGGUUGAAACUCAAAGGAAUUGACGGGGACCCGCACAAGCGGUGGAGCAUGUGGUUUAAUUCGAAGCAACGCGAAGAACCUUACCAAAUCUUGACAUCCUUUGACAACUCUAGAGAUAGAGCCUUCCCCUUCGGGGGACAAAGUGACAGGUGGUGCAUGGUUGUCGUCAGCUCGUGUCGUGAGAUGUUGGGUUAAGUCCCGCAACGAGCGCAACCCUUAAGCUUAGUUGCCAUCAUUAAGUUGGGCACUCUAAGUUGACUGCCGGUGACAAACCGGAGGAAGGUGGGGAUGACGUCAAAUCAUCAUGCCCCUUAUGAUUUGGGCUACACACGUGCUACAAUGGACAAUACAAAGGGCAGCGAAACCGCGAGGUCAAGCAAAUCCCAUAAAGUUGUUCUCAGUUCGGAUUGUAGUCUGCAACUCGACUACAUGAAGCUGGAAUCGCUAGUAAUCGUAGAUCAGCAUGCUACGGUGAAUACGUUCCCGGGUCU
Molecule: ribosomal RNA, 1372 nt
Filed under: uncultured bacterium
Lineage: Bacteria
Description: bacterial SSU rRNA
Rfam family: Bacterial small subunit ribosomal RNA
Source: RNAcentral